AGCCUCAGUCUGGAUUGGAAUGGGCACUGUUGAUUGGAGUCCAGAAUUGGUCAGUGUGGCUACAAUUGAGACACAGGUCAUGCUUCCAUCAAUGGGGUCAAUGAGGCCUGUAACACUU
RNAcentral lists this small nucleolar RNA (118 nucleotides) under Octodon degus (degu). Its description in RNAcentral is "Small nucleolar RNA SNORA1 (ENSODEG00000020636.1)". It matches the Rfam family "Small nucleolar RNA SNORA1". Rfam says of the family: ACA1 is a member of the H/ACA class of snoRNA that guide the sites of modification of uridines to pseudouridines. Lineage: Eukaryota; Metazoa; Chordata; Mammalia; Rodentia; Octodontidae. The record is from Rfam by way of RNAcentral.